RNAcentral lists this ribosomal RNA (495 nucleotides) under uncultured bacterium. RNAcentral describes it as "bacterial SSU rRNA". It matches the Rfam family "Bacterial small subunit ribosomal RNA", at positions 28 to 508 of the family's 1533-position model. The record is from RNAcentral.
GAUGAACGCUAGCUACAGGCUUAACACAUGCAAGUCGAGGGGAAACGAUAGAGAAAGCUUGCUUUUUCUAGGCGUCGACCGGCGCACGGGUGAGUAACGCGUAUCCAACCUGCCCAUCACUUGGGGAUAACCUUGCGAAAGUAAGACUAAUACCCAAUGACGUCUCUAGAAGACAUCUGAAGGAGAUUAAAGAUUUAUCGGUGAUGGAUGGGGAUGCGUCUGAUUAGCUUGUUGGCGGGGUAACGGCCCACCAAGGCGACGAUCAGUAGGGGUUCUGAGAGGAAGGCCCCCCCACGAUUGGAACUGAGACACGGUCCAAACUCCUACGGGAGGCAGCAGUGAGGAAUAUUGGUCAAUGGACGAGAGUCUGAACCAGCCAUGCCGCGUGCAGGAUGACGGCUCUAUGAGUUGUAAACUGCUUUUGUACGAGGGUAAACGCAGAUACGUGUAUCUGUCUGAAAGUAUCGUACGAAUAAGGAUCGGCUAACUCCGUAG